AAGUUAUAACAAGGUCUCUGUUAAUAAACUAGCAGAGGGAUUAUUAUAGAGUUGUAAAACUCCUAUCACUAUUGCAAACUUACCUUAUACCUGUUGCUUCGGCAGGCAGCCUUAGGCUUCUGUUUUUAUAGAUCCUUAGGGCCUUAUAGCCUGAUUGUCAGGUGCCUACUAGAGGUUAUACAACUAGACAUUGUUUAUAGCCUAUUAGAAUUUGUACUACCAAUUAGUUAAAACUUUCAACAAUGGAUCUCUUAGUUCUA
RNAcentral lists this unclassified non-coding RNA (260 nucleotides) under fungal sp. Its description in RNAcentral is "partial internal transcribed spacer region". Lineage: Eukaryota; Fungi. The record is from RNAcentral.